UUGGAUACACGAAAGCAAGGACGCGUAGAGCAUCUGCGAUUUCGAUGAGCUUCGCAGGGACCUACAUACAGUCCUUAGCACUGCCAAAUGGCAGUUGGAUAAGUUUGAGA
Molecule: long non-coding RNA, 110 nt
Organism: Telopea speciosissima
Lineage: Eukaryota; Viridiplantae; Streptophyta; Magnoliopsida; Proteales; Proteaceae
Exons: 3
Source: RefSeq, a predicted model, not a curated record